GGGGCUGAUUCUGGAUUCGACGGGAUUGUGAAGCCUUAGGAGCAUGCCGAGGGGCGGUUUGCCUCGUAAAAAGCCGCAAAAAAAAUAGUCGCAAACGACGAAAACUACGCACUAGCAGCUUAAUAACCUGCUUAGAGCCUUCUCUCCCUAGCUUCCGCUCUUAAGACGGGGAUCAAGAGAAGUCAAACCCAAAAGAGAUCGCGUGGAUGCCUUGCCUGGGGUUGAAGCGUUAAAUCCAAUCAGGCUAGUCUGUUAGUGGCGUGUCUGUUCGCAGCUAACCGGCGAAUGUAAAAACUGACUAAGCAUGUAGUGCCGACGGUGUAGUAAUUUCGGACGCGGGUUCAACUCCCGCCAGCUCCACCA
RNAcentral lists this transfer-messenger RNA (363 nucleotides) under Pantoea brenneri. It matches the Rfam family "transfer-messenger RNA". Rfam says of the family: Bacterial tmRNA, also known as 10Sa RNA or SsrA, is named for its dual tRNA and mRNA-like properties. The record is from RNAcentral. Lineage: Bacteria; Pseudomonadati; Pseudomonadota; Gammaproteobacteria; Enterobacterales; Erwiniaceae.